This 497-nucleotide ribosomal RNA is filed under the name uncultured bacterium. RNAcentral's name for it is "partial 16S ribosomal RNA". It matches the Rfam family "Bacterial small subunit ribosomal RNA", at positions 28 to 507 of the family's 1533-position model. The record is from RNAcentral.
GAUGAACGCUGGCGGCGUGCCUAAUACAUGCAAGUCGAGCGAACAGACGAGGAGCUUGCUCCUCUGACGUUAGCGGCGGACGGGUGAGUAACACGUGGAUAACCUACCUAUAAGACUGGGAUAACUUCGGGAAACCGGAGCUAAUACCGGAUAAUAUAUUGAACCGCAUUGUUCAAUAGUGAAAGACGGUUUUGCUGUCACUUAUAGAUGGAUCCGCGCCGCAUUAGCUAGUUGGUAAGGUAACGGCUUACCAAGGCGACGAUGCGUAGCCGACCUGAGAGGGUGAUCGGCCACACUGGAACUGAGACACGGUCCAGACUCCUACGGGAGGCAGCAGUAGGGAAUCUUCCGCAAUGGGCGAAAGCCUGACGGAGCAACGCCGAGUGAGUGAUGAAGGUCUUCGGAUCGUAAAACUCUGUUAUUAGGGAAGAACAAAUGUGUAAGUAAAUAUGCACGUAUUGACGGUACCUAAUCAGAAAGCCACGGCUAACUACGUG